UACGUCGGGUGCAAGCGUUGUCCGGAAUUAUUGGGCGUAAAGAGCUUGUAGGCGGUUUGUCGCGUCUGCUGUGAAAUUUCGGGGCUCAACCCCGAACUUGCAGUGGGUACGGGCAGACUAGAGUGUGGUAGGGGAGACUGGAAUUCCUGGUGUAGCGGUGAAAUGCGCAGAUAUCAGGAGGAACACCGAUGGCGAAGGCAGGUCUCUGGGCCACUACUGACGCUGAGAAGCGAAAGCAUGGGGAGCGAACAGG
RNAcentral lists this ribosomal RNA (253 nucleotides) under uncultured bacterium. Its description in RNAcentral is "partial 16S ribosomal RNA". It matches the Rfam family "Bacterial small subunit ribosomal RNA", at positions 524 to 776 of the family's 1533-position model. The record is from RNAcentral.